RNAcentral lists this ribosomal RNA (453 nucleotides) under uncultured Eubacteriales bacterium. Its description in RNAcentral is "bacterial SSU rRNA". It matches the Rfam family "Bacterial small subunit ribosomal RNA", at positions 917 to 1370 of the family's 1533-position model. The record is from RNAcentral. Lineage: Bacteria; Bacillati; Bacillota; Clostridia; Eubacteriales.
GGACCCGCACAAGCAGCGGAGCAUGUGGUUUAAUUCGAAGCAACGCGAAGAACCUUACCAGGGCUUGACAUCCUCCUGACCGGCGUGUAACGGCGCCUUUCCUUCGGGACAGGAGAGACAGGUGGUGCAUGGUUGUCGUCAGCUCGUGUCGUGAGAUGUUGGGUUAAGUCCCGCAACGAGCGCAACCCUUGUCUUUAGUUGCCAUCAGGUCAUGCUGGGCACUCUAGAGAGACUGCCGGGGAUAACUCGGAGGAAGGUGGGGAUGACGUCAAAUCAUCAUGCCCCUUAUGUUCUGGGCUACACACGUGCUACAAUGGCCGGUACAAUGAGAAGCAAUAUCGCGAGGUGGAGCAAAUCACCAAAACCGGUCCCAGUUCGGAUUGCAGGCUGAAACCCGCCUGCAUGAAGUCGGAGUUGCUAGUAAUCGCGGAUCAGCACGCCGCGGUGAAUACG